UUUGAGAUGUGGCAUCUCACAUACAACGUUUCAGUUCUACGUCUUAACUUAGGGUUUUUCUCAAGCUUGGGUUUUAGUUUCACACAUACAAAUCCCAACCAAAUAAUAUGUAGAAUAAUAAUAAAAUGAAAUAUAAAAUAAAAUAAAAAGCAUAAGAAUAAAAAAUAAAAAGCACAUAGAUAAAUAAAAACAGGAAGUAAAUAAAAAGAAGCAA
RNAcentral lists this long non-coding RNA (214 nucleotides) under Lathyrus oleraceus (garden pea). RNAcentral's name for it is "Pisum sativum (pea) long non-coding RNA (PSAT_LNC013499)". The record is from RNAcentral. Lineage: Eukaryota; Viridiplantae; Streptophyta; Magnoliopsida; Fabales; Fabaceae.